This 484-nucleotide ribosomal RNA is filed under the name uncultured bacterium. Its description in RNAcentral is "partial 16S ribosomal RNA". It matches the Rfam family "Bacterial small subunit ribosomal RNA", at positions 30 to 507 of the family's 1533-position model. The record is from RNAcentral.
AUUGAACGCUGGCGGCAGGCCUAACACAUGCAAGUCGAGCGGAUGAAGGGAGCUUGCUCCUGGAUUCAGCGGCGGACGGGUGAGUAAUGCCUAGGAAUCUGCCUGGUGGUGGGGGAUAACGUCCGGAAACGGGCGCUAAUACCGCAUACGUCCUGAGGGAGAAAGUGGGGGAUCUUCGGACCUCACGCUAUCAGAUGAGCCUAGGUCGGAUUAGCUAGUUGGUGGGGUAAAGGCCUACCAAGGCGACGAUCCGUAACUGGUCUGAGAGGAUGAUCAGUCACACUCGAACUGAGACACGGUCCAGACUCCUACGGGAGGCAGCAGUGGGGAAUAUUGGACAAUGGGCGAAAGCCUGAUCCAGCCAUGCCGCGUGUGUGAAGAAGGUCUUCGGAUUGUAAAGCACUUUAAGUUGGGAGGAAGGGCAGUAAGUUAAUACCUUGCUGUUUUGACGUUACCAACAGAAUAAGCACCGGCUAACUUCGUG